UACGACGGGGGCUAGCGUUGUUCGGAAUUACUGGGCGUAAAGCGCACGUAGGCGGGUACUUAAGUCAGGGGUGAAAUCCCGGGGCUCAACCCCGGAACUGCCUUUGAUACUGGGUAUCUCGAGUCCGGAAGAGGUGAGUGGAAUUCCGAGUGUAGAGGUGAAAUUCGUAGAUAUUCGGAGGAACACCAGUGGCGAAGGCGGCUCACUGGUCCGGUACUGACGCUGAGGCGCGAAAGCGUGGGGAGCAAACAGG
Molecule: ribosomal RNA, 253 nt
Filed under: uncultured bacterium
Lineage: Bacteria
Description: partial 16S ribosomal RNA
Rfam family: Bacterial small subunit ribosomal RNA
Source: RNAcentral